GCCCAGAUCGCAUAGCCCGGUAUUGCGCAGGAUUGCUAAUCCUGUUCCUCACGGAAUCCCCGGUUCAAAUCCGGGUCUGGGCG
RNAcentral lists this transfer RNA (83 nucleotides) under Candidatus Woesearchaeota archaeon. RNAcentral describes it as "tRNA-Ser". It matches the Rfam family "tRNA". From Rfam's summary of the family: Transfer RNA (tRNA) molecules are approximately 80 nucleotides in length. The record is from RNAcentral. Lineage: Archaea; Nanobdellati; Candidatus Woesearchaeota.